RNAcentral lists this ribosomal RNA (546 nucleotides) under Ameerega trivittata (three-striped poison frog). Its description in RNAcentral is "partial large subunit ribosomal RNA". It matches the Rfam family "Bacterial large subunit ribosomal RNA", at positions 1850 to 2597 of the family's 2925-position model. The record is from RNAcentral. Lineage: Eukaryota; Metazoa; Chordata; Amphibia; Anura; Dendrobatidae.
AGGUCCAGCCUGCCCAGUGACUUUGUUCAACGGCCGCGGUAUCCUAACCGUGCGAAGGUAGCGUAAUCACUUGUUCUUUAAAUGAGGACUAGUAUGAAUGGCCCCACGAGGGCUGCACUGUCUCCUUUUUCUAAUCAAUGAAACUAAUCUCCCCGUGAAGAAGCGGGAAUUAUCCUAUAAGACGAGAAGACCCUAUGGAGCUUUAAACAACUGAAACAUUUGCUUUUCUCCUAACUCCUCCCGAGCUCUUUAUUUUUAUUUAAGCAUUAUUAUUUCUAGUUUUAGGUUGGGGUGACCACGGAGCAAAACUAAACCUCCAUGAAGAAAUGAAUAUUUUUAAGCCACAAACUACUUUUUUAAGCAUCAACAAAUUGACCUUCAUUGACCCAAUAUAUUGAUCAACGAACCAAGUUACCCUAGGGAUAACAGCGCAAUCUACUUCAAGAGCUCAUAUCGACAAGUAGGUUUACGACCUCGAUGUUGGAUCAGGGUAUCCUAGUGGUGCAGCCGCUACUAAUGGUUCGUUUGUUCAACGAUUAAAACCCU